RNAcentral lists this transfer RNA (63 nucleotides) under Tenebrionoidea sp. 12 KM-2017. Its description in RNAcentral is "tRNA-Leu". The record is from RNAcentral. Lineage: Eukaryota; Metazoa; Arthropoda; Insecta; Coleoptera.
AUUAUUUUGGCAGAUUAGUGUAAUAGAUUUAGAAUCUAUAAAUGUAAAGUUUUACAAAUAAUA